Molecule: non-coding RNA, 1241 nt
Organism: Oryctolagus cuniculus (rabbit)
Lineage: Eukaryota; Metazoa; Chordata; Mammalia; Lagomorpha; Leporidae
Source: RefSeq, a predicted model, not a curated record
CCCUGUGACCUCAACUUCCUUCUCCAUAAAACACAGAGCCUGGGGCCUCUGUGCGCGGCUCCUCGCUCCCUGUCGGCUAAAGGCUUCCUGGGCUGCCAAGCGCCCUUCAGGCCCCAGGUGGUCACGUGGUGCCCCUGCUGGGGCGGAGCCCCCCCCCUCCAGCCCCCAACCUGCCUCUCUGGGGCCUGGCCCAGCUGCUCCGGGCUGCCCUUUGACCUGCCGGCUGGCUGAAGCUUUGUAAACACAGUCAUCUGGUGUUUGUCUCCGGCUCCCAGGGCUGGGGGGGCUGUUUGUUUGGGGCUCUGUUAGUUAAGCCGGUGGUGAGCAGGCCUGAGAUAACCCUGCCAGUUACAGCCCAGGAGGGGACCAGAACUGCCACAAGGCGCGAGCCCACAGCCAUCCUUCCUUCCUCUGCCUGCACCCUCCCCAGGGCCAGGCUGGCCGAGGACGGGAAGAAACACGGAACGUUGCCCUGCCCAGGCACAGGGAGUCCAGCCCUGCGGGGGGGCCUGCCAGACAUCGGCCACCUUGCAGGCUUGAGGACCCCAGGACACCUCACAGCCACCCCUGCCGGCGGCCGACACACGAGCAUCUGCAAUGGUGGCUAAGGCGCCGCUGGGAUGCCUCCGGGCCAGGUCAGGGUUCUAGGCUCUGCGCUCCUCUCUUCAUGCCUGCUGCUGUGAUGCACACCCUGGGAGGCAGCAGUUCCAGUUUGAGCUACGUAGAUGGGAUUCAGGCAGGAACUGAGGAGGAGUCCAGGGCUGCACUGUGGGACCCGAGACCCUCCCAGCCCUCAUGUCGCCUGUGGUUGACCCCAGGGCCCGGAGAACCCUGAUGACUUCAGCCACUGAUGUCUGGGCGGUGCCCACGGUGCCUGCAGCAGGUUUUAAAGACAGUGUUGGGGGCCAUUGCUGUGGUGUAGCGGGUAAAGCCACUGCCUGCAGUGCUGCCAUCCCAUGUGGGCACCGGUCCCGGCUGCUCCACUUCCGAUCCAGUUAUCCGAUAUGGCCUGGGAAAGCAGUGGAGGAUGGCCCAGGUCCUUGGGUCCCUGCGUUCAUGUGGGAGACCUGGAAGAAGCUCCUGGCUCCUGGCUUCGGAUCAGCCCAGCUCCGGCCAUUGUGGCCAUCUGGAGAGUGAACCAGCAGAUGGAAGACUUCUCUCUUUCUCUCUCUCUCUCUGCCUCUGCUUCUCUGUAAGUCUGCUUUUCAAAUAAAAUAAAAAACAAAUCUUUACAAUAAUAA